UACGUAGGUGGCAAGCGUUGUCCGGAUUUAUUGGGCGUAAAGGGAGCGCAGGCGGUGACUUAAGUCUGAUGUGAAAGCCCACGGCUCAACCGUGGAAGGUCAUUGGAAACUGGGUCACUUGAAUAUAGAAGAGGAAAGUGGAAUUCCAUGUGUAGCGGUGAAAUGCGUAGAUAUAUGGAGGAACACCAGUGGCGAAGGCGACUUUCUGGUCUAUUAUUGACGCUGAGGCUCGAAAGCAUGGGUAGCAAACAGGACUAGAUA
Molecule: ribosomal RNA, 261 nt
Filed under: uncultured prokaryote
Description: partial 16S ribosomal RNA
Rfam family: Bacterial small subunit ribosomal RNA
Source: RNAcentral